Molecule: ribosomal RNA, 449 nt
Filed under: uncultured bacterium
Lineage: Bacteria
Description: partial 16S ribosomal RNA
Rfam family: Bacterial small subunit ribosomal RNA
Source: RNAcentral
AACGAACGCUGGCGGCAUGCCUAACACAUGCAAGUCGAACGAGACCUUCGGGUCUAGUGGCGCACGGGUGCGUAACGCGUGGGAAUCUGCCCUUGGGUUCGGAAUAACAGUGAGAAAUUACUGCUAAUACCGGAUGAUGUCGCAAGACCAAAGAUUUAUCGCCCAGGGAUGAGCCCGCGUAGGAUUAGCUAGUUGGUGAGGUAAAGGCUCACCAAGGCGACGAUCCUUAGCUGGUCUGAGAGGAUGAUCAGCCACACUGGGACUGAGACACGGCCCAGACUCCUACGGGAGGCAGCAGUGGGGAAUAUUGGACAAUGGGCGAAAGCCUGAUCCAGCAAUGCCGCGUGAGUGAUGAAGGCCCUAGGGUUGUAAAGCUCUUUUACCCGGGAUGAUAAUGACAGUACCGGGAGAAUAAGCCCCGGCUAACUCCGUGCCAGCAGCCGCCGUAA